GUCCGCGUGGGAAUCUGCCCUUGGGUUCGGAAUAACUUCUGGAAACGGAAGCUAAUACCGGAUGAUGACGUAAGUCCAAAGAUUUAUCGCCCAAGGAUGAGCCCGCGUAGAGAUUAGCUAGUUGGUGGGGUAAAGGCCCACCAAGGCGCACGAUCCUUAGCUGGUCUGAGAGGAUGAUCAGCCACACUGGGACUGAGACACGGCCCAGACUCCUACGGGAGGCAGCAGUAGGGAAUAUUGGACAAUGGGCGAAAGCCUGAUCCAGCAAUGCCGCGUGAGUGAUGAAGGCCUUAGGGUUGUAAAGCUCUUUUACCCGGGAUGAUAAUGACAGUACCGGGAGAAUAAGCUCCGGCUAACUCCGUGCCAGCAGCCGCGGUAAUACGGAGGGAGCUAGCGUUGUUCGGAAUUACUGGGCGUAAAGCGCACGUAGGCGGCUAUUCAAGUCAGAGGUGAAAGCCCGGGGCUCAACCCCGGAACUGCCUUUGAAACUAGNAUAGCUUGGAAUCCAGGAGANGUGAGUGGAAUUCCGAGUGUAGA
Molecule: ribosomal RNA, 537 nt
Filed under: Sphingobium yanoikuyae
Lineage: Bacteria; Pseudomonadati; Pseudomonadota; Alphaproteobacteria; Sphingomonadales; Sphingobiaceae
Description: bacterial SSU rRNA
Rfam family: Bacterial small subunit ribosomal RNA
Source: RNAcentral